GGGAGCGUAGCUCAAUGGUAGAGCGUCGCUUAGCUUGCGAGAGGUACGGGGAUCGAUACCUCGCGCCUCCA
Trichonephila inaurata madagascariensis is the source of this 71-nucleotide non-coding RNA. The record is from the annotation of a GenBank genome assembly. Lineage: Eukaryota; Metazoa; Arthropoda; Arachnida; Araneae; Nephilidae.